This 490-nucleotide ribosomal RNA is filed under the name uncultured bacterium. Its description in RNAcentral is "partial 16S ribosomal RNA". It matches the Rfam family "Bacterial small subunit ribosomal RNA", at positions 28 to 507 of the family's 1533-position model. The record is from RNAcentral.
GAUGAACGCUAGCUACAGGCUUAACACAUGCAAGUCGCGGGGCAGCAUGGGGGUUGCUUGCAACUCCCGAUGGCGACCGGCGCACGGGUGAGUAACGCGUAUCCAACCUGCCCUUCACCACGGGAUAACCCGGCGAAAGUCGGACUAAUACCGUAUGUUGUCCAUUGACGGCAUCCGAUUUGGACGAAAGGCUUUGCGGUGAAGGAUGGGGAUGCGUCCGAUUAGCCAGACGGCGGGGUAACGGCCCACCGUGGCUACGAUCGGUAGGGGUUCUGAGAGGAAGGUCCCCCACACUGGAACUGAGACACGGUCCAGACUCCUACGGGAGGCAGCAGUGAGGAAUAUUGGUCAAUGGGCGUAAGCCUGAACCAGCCAAGUAGCGUGCAGGAUGACGGCCCUAUGGGUUGUAAACUGCUUUUAUGCGGGGAUAAAGUGGCCCACGUGUGGGCUUUUGCAGGUACCGCAUGAAUAAGAACCGGCUAAUUCCGUG